AAUGAUCAGUUGUGAUCGUGGAGAUAUGAAAGAUGGUCUCUUGGCGCUGUGUUUGCUCGCAUUGAAGAUCCUCGAUAUUCGAUUUGUCUUCGUUAAGAGCGCAGCGUAGACGACGGUGAAACAGAAACCAGCGGCAAAUCUGUGAAACGAUAGUUUCGUCUCUAGUAGUUCCUGUGACGUACAAGUUUUCCUUUUUGGUACAUACACGAUCAAUUUACCGUAAUCUUAUUUCAUGAUUUACUGGAAUACAUAACACACAGGGAGUUACGAAAACAGCAUUGACUUUCAAGGCUGCUACUGUAGGACAUGUUUUUCAAACAUACGAAACGCGAAUCGCUCAGUUACCGACCUAUUACGGUACAACGGCAACAACAAAGCUUCGUCGCAGUUUCGAUCAAAAACAUCAACGUUCUUCAGUUCUAAAAAGUGAUGGAGGUUCCUUUAUUGCGUCACGGAACGAGAGUUUUGUCGCUGGAAGUACAAGUAGAGAGUAAUUCUGGUUUUAACGUCUUACAUUCCGCGCAACGACCCUGCAAUUACCAAGAGAGCAAUUUUUCCGAGUCCUAAAUGAAUCUCUGCUACCUUUGCGGUUCGCGAACGUUAGACGUAUUAAGAAUUCUGACGAUGGAGAAAACUCUUCAUUAUUGCUGCAAUUAUGUUUCUUUCUGUUCAUAAGUAAAUGGGGAAAUCCAUUUGGAAAAAGAAUAGAAAUAUUAAAUGGAAAAAUUAUAUGCAACUUUCUUCAUAUUCACUGAAUGAAACACCAUGUGAUUACUAUUUGUUCAAAUCGUUACAAAAUUUUAUGAAUCGAAAAGAAUUCAAAGGCUACAAAGAAGAGAAUAUUGAUUUUCCAGAUUAUUUUACUGGUUAUUAACUCCGUAAAAUUUAUUUGUGAGAUAGUAAUGCAUACUAAUAUGUGUAGAUUAUAUUACUGAUUAUGAUAUCAAUAUAAUCAAUUCUGUACUUGAUAUAAUA
This is a long non-coding RNA of Bombus pyrosoma, 975 nucleotides long. RefSeq lists it as uncharacterized. NCBI's taxonomy places the organism in Eukaryota, Metazoa, Arthropoda, Insecta, Hymenoptera, Apidae. The transcript is spliced from 4 exons. The record is from RefSeq and is a predicted model, not a curated record.